UACGGAGGAUGCAAGCGUUAUCCGGAUUGAUUGGGCGUAAAGCGUCUGUAGGUGGUUACGCUAGUCGGCUGUUAAAGAUCAGGGCUGAACCCUGAGCAAGCAGUCGAAACUGCGUGGCUGGAGUACGGUAGGGGCAGAGGGAAUUUCCGGUGGAGCGGUGAAAUGCGUAGAGAUCGGAAAGAACACCAACGGCGAAAGCACUCUCGCUGGGCCGACACUGACACUGAGAGACGAAAGCUAGGGGAGCGAAUGGG
Molecule: ribosomal RNA, 254 nt
Filed under: uncultured bacterium
Lineage: Bacteria
Description: partial 16S ribosomal RNA
Rfam family: Bacterial small subunit ribosomal RNA
Source: RNAcentral